UGGGGAAUAUUGCACAAUGGGCGCAAGCCUGAUGCAGCCAUGCCGCGUGUAUGAAGAAGGCCUUCGGGUUGUAAAGUACUUUCAGCGAGGAGGAAGGCGUUGUGGUUAAUAACCGCAACGAUUGACGUUACUCGCAGAAGAAGCACCGGCUAACUCCGUGCCAGCAGCCGCGGCAAUACGGAGGGUGCAAGCGUUAAUCGGAAUUACUGGGCGUAAAGCGCACGCAGGCGGUCUGUCAAGUCGGAUGUGAAAUCCCCGGGCUCAACCUGGGAACUGCAUCCGAAACUGGCAGGCUAGAGUCUUGUAGAGGGGGGUAGAAUUCCAGGUGUAGCGGUGAAAUGCGUAGAGAUCUGGAGGAAUACCGGUGGCGAAGGCGGCCCCCUGGACAAAGACUGACGCUCAGGUGCGAAAGCGUGGGGAGCAAACA
Molecule: ribosomal RNA, 427 nt
Filed under: uncultured bacterium
Lineage: Bacteria
Description: partial 16S ribosomal RNA
Rfam family: Bacterial small subunit ribosomal RNA
Source: RNAcentral